CGGCAAUGGAGGAAACUCUGACCGAGCAACGCCGCGUGAAUGACGAAGUACUUCGGUAUGUAAAGUUCUUUUAUCGAGGAAGAAAAGCAAAUGGCGAACCAUGUGUUUGCCGGUACUUGAUGAAUAAGCCCCGGCUAAUUAUGUGCCAGCAGCCGCGGUAAGACAUAAGGGGCAAGUGUUAUCCGGAAUUAUUGGGCGUAAAGGGUGCGUAGGCGGUCUAGUAAGUCAGUGGUGUAAUGUCAACGCUUAACGUUGUCCGGCUAUUGAAACUGCUAAACUUGAGUUAGAUAGAGGCGAGUGGAAUUCCAUGUGUAGCGGUAAAAUGCGUAAAUAUAUGGAGGAACACCAGAGGCGUAGGCGGCUCGCUGGGUCUUAACUGACGCUGAGGCACGAAAGCGUGGGGAGCAAACAGGAUUAGAUACCCUGGUAGUCCACGCCGUAAACGAUGAGUACUAAGUGUCGGGUUAAACCGGUACUGAAGUUAACACAUUAAGUACUCCGCCUGAGUAGUACGUACGCAAGUAUGAAACUUAAAGGAAUUGACGGGACUCCGCACAAGCGGUGGAUCAUGUUGUUUAAUUCGAAGAUACCCGAAAAACCUUACCAGGUCUUGACAUGUUUUUGCAAAAUGAUAGUAAUAUCGUGGAGGUUACCAGAAACACAGGUGGUGCAUGGUUGUCGUCAGCUCGUGUCGUGAGAUGUUAGGUUAAGUCCUAAAACGAGCGAAACCCUUAUCGUUAGUUGCCAGCACGUUAUGGUGGGGACUUUAACGAGACUGCCAAUGAUAAAUUGGAGGAAGGUGAGGAUCAAGUCAAAUCAGCAUGCCCCUUAUGACCUGGGCUACAAACGUGAUACAAUGGCUGUUACAAAGAGUAGCUGAA
Molecule: ribosomal RNA, 881 nt
Filed under: Nicaragua neem phytoplasma
Lineage: Bacteria; Bacillati; Mycoplasmatota; Mollicutes; Acholeplasmatales; Acholeplasmataceae
Description: bacterial SSU rRNA
Rfam family: Bacterial small subunit ribosomal RNA
Source: RNAcentral